GGGGACGACGGGUAUUGACAGCGGGCUGAGGUUGCGGGUGUAAGCAUGUCGGAAGUUGGAAGAACCUUCCGUGUAAAAUUCUUCUAAAACAAUAGCUGGCAACAAUAGCUACGCUAUGGCUGCUUAAUCCGGAGGAUUAACCAUUAGCCAUCGUCCCGCCGAACCAUCACACUACUGGGUCGGAGUUCGGGGCGUCGAAAGGUAGUGUCGGAGGGGCCGAUUUCGCUGAGCCCUAUCUGUACUAGCGAAUACGGAAUUAAUUCGGUUUGUUGUCGACCUGAUUAGUUCCCGACAAUCCAAGGACAACUAAGCAUGUAGAAGACGCGUGGCGUCCCUGUUCUGGACGAGGGUUCGAAUCCCUCCGUCUCCACAG
RNAcentral lists this transfer-messenger RNA (373 nucleotides) under Cytophagales. RNAcentral describes it as "Siphonobacter sp002838835 Standard tmRNA". It matches the Rfam family "transfer-messenger RNA". From Rfam's summary of the family: Bacterial tmRNA, also known as 10Sa RNA or SsrA, is named for its dual tRNA and mRNA-like properties. Its role is to liberate the mRNA from a stalled ribosome. The record is from RNAcentral. Lineage: Bacteria; Pseudomonadati; Bacteroidota; Cytophagia. RNAcentral also lists the same sequence under 1 other name.